CAGAAAGUAGCUUGCUACUUUGCUGACGAGCGGCGGACGGGUGAGUAAUGCUUGGGAACAUGCCUUGAGGUGGGGGACAACAGUUGGAAACGACUGCUAAUACCGCAUAAUGUCUACGGACCAAAGGGGGCUUCGGCUCUCGCCUUUAGAUUGGCCCAAGUGGGAUUAGCUAGUUGGUGAGGUAAUGGCUCACCAAGGCGACGAUCCCUAGCUGGUUUGAGAGGAUGAUCAGCCACACUGGGACUGAGACACGGCCCAGACUCCUACGGGAGGCAGCAGUGGGGAAUAUUGCACAAUGGGCGCAAGCCUGAUGCAGCCAUGCCGCGUGUGUGAAGAAGGCCUUCGGGUUGUAAAGCACUUUCAGUCAGGAGGAAAGGUUAGUAGUUAAUACCUGCUAGCUGUGACGUUACUGACAGAAGAAGCACCGGCUAACUCCGUGCCAGCAGCCGCGGUAAUACGGAGGGUGCGAGCGUUAAUCGGAAUUACUGGGCGUAAAGCGUACGCAGGCGGUUUGUUAAGCGAGAUGUGAAAGCCCCGGGCUCAACCUGGGAACUGCAUUUCGAACUGGCAAACUAGAGUGUGAUAGAGGGUGGUAGAAUUUCAGGUGUAGCGGUGAAAUGCGUAGAGAUCUGAAGGAAUACCGAUGGCGAAGGCAGCCACCUGGGUCAACACUGACGCUCAUGUACGAAAGCGUGGGGAGCAAACGGGAUUAGAUACCCCGGUAGUCCACGCCGUAAACGAUGUCUA
RNAcentral lists this ribosomal RNA (747 nucleotides) under bacterium 4746K8-B5. RNAcentral's name for it is "bacterial SSU rRNA". It matches the Rfam family "Bacterial small subunit ribosomal RNA", at positions 69 to 815 of the family's 1533-position model. The record is from RNAcentral.